CCUACGGGUGGCAGCAGUGAGGAAUAUUGGUCAAUGGACGCACGUCUGAACCCGCCAUGCCGCGUGCAGGAAGACGGCUCUAUGAGUUGUAAACUUCUUUUGUACGAGGGUAAACUCAGAUACGUGUACCUGUCUGAAAGUACCGUACGAAUAAGGAUCGGCUAACUCCGUGCCAGCAGCCGCGGUAAUACUGAGGAUUCACGCGUUAUCCGGAUUUAUUGGGUUUAAAGGGUGCGUAGGCGGGCGGUUAAGUUAGAGGUGAAAUCCCGAGGCUCAACUUCGGAAUUGCCUUUGAAACUGUUCGGCUAGAGAGGAGGAGCGGUAGGCGGAAUGUAUGGUGUAGCGGUGAAAUGCUUAGAGAUCGUACAGAACACCGAUUGCGAAGGCAGCUUACCAAGCUACUUCUGACGUUGAGGCACGAAAGCGUGGGGAGCAAACAGGAUUAGAUACCCUAGUAGUC
Molecule: ribosomal RNA, 460 nt
Filed under: uncultured bacterium
Lineage: Bacteria
Description: partial 16S ribosomal RNA
Rfam family: Bacterial small subunit ribosomal RNA
Source: RNAcentral